CCGCUGGUCCGCCGAGGGAGGCGGCGAGCGGACUACAACGCCCACAAUGCCGCAUGCCGGAAGGCGGCUGUAAACUGCCGCGCGCAAGAGGGCGAAAGGUGGGCUCCGCCUGAGGACUGUCAAAGACAUCGGAGAGACGCCACCUUGAUCUAUCCUGCUGCCUGCUGCUGGAGAGUCUCCCCUGAAAUCCUGACCCUAGAAUUGGAGACUGUGGUUAGAGACUGGAUCCAACCUUCAGCUAAGAUAUGUGACAGAUGGCCCAGCAGUUAAGAGCACUGGCUGCUCUUCCAGAGGACCCCAAGUUCCAUUCCCAGCUUCCACACAGCAGCUCACAAUCAUUUGUAACUACAGUUCCAGGAGACCCGGUACCCUCCAUCAGGUGUGCCCAGCCACUUUGGUUUUAGUUGAUUCCAGCCAUAUAGUCAAGUUGACAACUAAGAUUAGCCAUCACAUGGACUGUUACCUGGAAGUAUAAGAUGAAUAAAUUCUUUCCUCCCCA
Molecule: long non-coding RNA, 499 nt
Organism: Peromyscus californicus insignis
Lineage: Eukaryota; Metazoa; Chordata; Mammalia; Rodentia; Cricetidae
Exons: 3
Source: RefSeq, a predicted model, not a curated record